Molecule: long non-coding RNA, 586 nt
Organism: Sapajus apella (tufted capuchin)
Lineage: Eukaryota; Metazoa; Chordata; Mammalia; Primates; Cebidae
Exons: 2
Source: RefSeq, a predicted model, not a curated record
UCACGGUCCUUCUUGGAGUCCCAGUUUUCUUAUCUACACAACUGAAGAAGCAAACCAGAAUGUCCUCAGUCCUUUUCUCUUCCACAUGUCUAUUCUAAAUCUCUUUUAUUGGAUUUUUGCUCUUAAAAGCAUGGAGGAGGGAGGUGAUAAGACGGAGCAAAGGAAAUUGGCAGCUCUCGAGUGCAGGGCUUUCUCUGGGGUCAGGGUUUUUGAAAGGAUCCUAAUUAAAGCCAAGUGAGUUCUUUCGAGUGAAGAUCUCAGCAGAGCUGCUUGUUGACCUUGAGAGGUAGGGAUUGCUGAGUGAAAGAGAGAGAGAAAGAAGAGAAAAGAGAGAGGCAAGGAGAAAAAGGAGUUAGAAGGGAAAAAAGAAGAAGGAGGAAAGGAGGUGGAGGGGGCAGCAGGGCAGGGGAGACAAGCAGCCUCAGAAGUGGGAGAGAUUUGAAGUGAAGAAACAAGUUGGCGAAAAUCAGGUGGGAGGAGCAGAGAGCAGAAAAGAAUAAAAGCUUUUCAGAUAAAGGAUGCACAUCUGGUACAACCUGUCAGAGCUCCUGGGGAAGAGGAGCUGGCAGGAGGAUUUGGAUGUAAA